GAUGAAGAACGUAGCGAAAUGCGAUACGUAAUGUGAAUUGCAGAAUUCAGUGAAUCAUCGAAUCUUUGAACGCAUAUUGCGCUCUCUGGUAUUCCGGAGAGCAUGCUUGUUUGAGUAUCAGUAAACACCUCAACUCCCCUUUCUUUUUUGAAAUGGGAGCUGGACUUGAGUGAUCCCAACGCUUUUCUCACCGAAAAGUGGCGGGUUACUUGAAAUGCAGGUGCAGCUGGACUUUUCUCUGAGCUAAAAGCAUAUCUAUUUAGUCUGCCUAAAAACAGAUUAUUACCUUUGCUGCAGCUAACAUAAAGGAGAUUAGUUCUUGUGCUGACUGAUGCAGGAUUCACAGAGACAGCUUCGGCUGGCCUUUGUAAACUCGAUCUCAAAUCAAGUAAGACUACCCGCUGAACUUAAGCAUAUCAAUAAGCGGAGG
Molecule: unclassified non-coding RNA, 430 nt
Filed under: soil metagenome
Description: partial contains 5.8S ribosomal RNA, internal transcribed spacer 2, and large subunit ribosomal RNA
Rfam family: 5.8S ribosomal RNA (bases 1-120)
Source: RNAcentral